RNAcentral lists this ribosomal RNA (253 nucleotides) under uncultured prokaryote. RNAcentral describes it as "partial 16S ribosomal RNA". It matches the Rfam family "Bacterial small subunit ribosomal RNA", at positions 525 to 777 of the family's 1533-position model. The record is from RNAcentral.
ACAGAGGGUGCAAGCGUUAAUCGGAAUUACUGGGCGUAAAGCGUGCGUAGACGGUUACAUAAGUCGGGUGUGAAAGCCCCGGGCUCAACCUGGGAAUUGCAUUCGAGACUGCGUAGCUAGGGUGCGGAAGAGGGAAGCGGAAUUUCCGGUGUAGCGGUGAAAUGCGUAGAUAUCAGGAGGAACACCGAUGGCGAAGGCAGGUCUCUGGGCAUUAACUGACGCUGAGGAGCGAAAGCAUGGGGAGCGAACAGGA